ACAGCUGGGAAGGAAGGCGCCGGGAAGGACGGCCAGCCCCCCAGACCCUGGGAGGGCUGCGCCGCGCCUUUCUCGGACCUUCCUGGGCUGGAGAGGUGCGCGCCGUCCGCACCUCGCCCAGGGGCUGGAAUCUCCAAUCCAGGAGAUGCGCGCUGGAGCCUGAGUUCCUGAGUCUCUGGAGCCACCACCUGCGAAUGACCUUCGCUUCCACUGAGCUGUGCCCGGCAGCCCAGUGAGACUGCUCCAGGUAAGGAGGGUCUUGGAAUGAGCUGGGCUUUAAGAUUUAGGAUGUUCUCUAGGGGAUGGUUAACAGUGGAGAUGCGCCAGAUACCUUGUUUUUUUGAUGACAAAACUGCACUUUGAUUGUGAUGUUUCAGGUUCUGAUUAGGGUCGACUUAGUCUCAGUCACCUCACCUUAACAUUGAUUAAAGAAAAGCUCGUUGUCUAGGAAGGUACUAAAACUUAGGGUUUCAUAUUGACAAAUCCUAGGAUUUUGUGUGAGUUUUACUUGCCGUUAAUAUAAAUUUUCCUCCAAAAGUUUUAUUCUCCUGCUUCCUGGGUAUGAAAAUUAGACACUGAAAAUUGUGGAUUUUUUCUAAAAGGUAUUUAUUAACUCAUAAACAGAUAAUAUCGGCAUCUAUGUGAUGUGUCACAGUUGUUCUAGAUAUUGGAAAUGAGUACAGUGGUGAAUGGAGUUGCUUCUUAAGUCAUGUUUUACAGAGAAUUAUUUUCCAACAAUCAUUUAUGCAUAGCAGCCAUUCUUCACACCUAUUAGGAAAAAUAUGUUGUGUGCGUAGUUUCCAAAAGGGUACUCUUUUUUCAUGAUGCUCUUCCCAAGCCUGGGUGAAAGACAUCAUGAAAAGCUCUCACAAAUUAGUUCUCCUUCCCUAAACAUUCAUUUUCCUUGAGGUCCAAGGAAAUCCAGUCAGAGUCAAAAAUCAACAAUCCAAUUAGAUUUUUAACCCAUUAUUUAGACUUUAUUUUGCAGAUCUACCUAAGAAAAGCUCUAUCUAAAAGCUUUAAGCUGGUAUUACAUAGUACAUUCAAGACUAGAAGGCAGUGUUCCAUUGCUGAUGUUCAGGAGACCCUAACGGCCGUAGUUAACCUGAACCAAAUCAUCUGUUCAAGGCUAUUUGUCGAAAUUGUUGGGUGAUUGAAAUUGAAAUGUUCAAAAUAAACCAAAGUGUGACCCUAUAGUUUCUGCAACUAAUCUGUAAGUAGCAGAGUGUCCAAGUUGGAGUGUGUUUUAAAUGAUAAUAGAAAAGCAAAUAGUUGAUACUUUGAGGCAACCUUGAUGUGCCAUCAGAGACAAAGUAGGAAUGCAUCUAGUGUUGUGGGAUUUAUCAUUUGUAAUAUCAUGUUACUAACCUACUAUGUGUCCAGUUAGAACUCAGCUUUAAAAAGUCAGAAUUUCUGGGUGUUCCAUGCUAGCAUUAUGAGAGGAUCUAGGGUGAUUAGAUUUGCAAAACAUCUUUGCAGUUUAAGUCAGUAUUCUCAGUGGGCAUUUAUUUCUACUCAAUAUUUUAACAUAGCUCAAAACAUCCAUUGGCCGGGAUUUGCUUUGAUUUUAUGCCUCUAUUCUAUAGUUAAUUUCAGGAACUACAGCCACAAAAGUAAUAGUCAUUGUAAAAUACUCUAAGGUUAUUUAUUGACCACACCAACAUAUCAAGUAUAGUAAACAUGAAAUCCUCAUUAUAACUUAUUGACAAGAACACAGAAAACUUACAGUUGUGGUCUAAGUUGAUGCUCGGAGUUGAAGAAAACUCUGUUCUUGGUGAACUUCUCAGAUUCCUUCAAUGUUGAAAGGAAUGAAGAUAUUAUCUGCUGUUUUUUAUUAGAGUAAAAACAAAAUAGAAACAGGAGACGUGGUAUUUUCAUUGAUAACCCAAACCAAUGUUCGGGCUGCAAAUUAGAACCAAUGGGAGAACAUUAAAAAAAAUAUUGGACCCUACCCAAAACUAAGUCAGAAUAUCUGAGGGACGGGUCUACAUUUUUACUUUUUUUUUUUUUUUUUUGACGUGAUAGAGCUCGUUAAUAUUGGAGGGUCUUGGAACAUAAAUGCUGUAUGUUCUAUUGUCAGUCUAAUCUUUUUUAUCUUAAAGAAAAUAUUUAUAAUUUAUUAUCCCAAUUAGAAGAAAGAGAUUUGUUUCCCUUAAUGGUAGAUGUUUACCGUAACAGUUUCCGGGAAAGAAAUUUUUUUUUCUAGAAAACAAGCUAUUGAGUUUGAAGCUUAUCUGACUGUCCAGAGAAUGCUCUAGUGAAUUUACUCUAACUUUAAGAGAUGUUGGAAACAAUGCUUUAUGAAACACAGAAUUUGGUCUCAUUUUGCUAAGACCUAUAUGAUGUGUAAUGUGCAAAUAUAUAUACCCUUUUGAAAGGAGAGAAGAAAAUAGUACCAUACUCCUUGGCACACCAAAUAACAUAUCCCGGGUGCUGAAUAUGUUCUGGUAUUUUCACAUAAAUUAUUUCCUUUAAAGCCCACAAUAGCUUAGCGAGGUGCCAGCUUCUACUCUGAUUUCAUAUAUGAGGAAAUUAAGGACCCAUUAGGUUAAUGAACAUGCUUAAAGCUGCAAACCAAGUAAAUCUAAUGCGUAUUUGAACCCUGGUCUUCUUAUUCUAAGUUCAAUGCUAUAAUAAAAUAUAUAUUUUUAUACAUAUAUGUAUAUACAAAUAUUUUAAAUUUAAAGACAGCAUUUUUUUUGCAAAGCAGUAUUGAUUAAGAGCCACCGAUUCUGGCACGGCUCUGCUUGGGUUUCAUACCCGACUCCAUCACCUUCUAAGAAGUUGUAUGAUUUUGGACAAAUAAUCUAACUUCUGUGUGUCUUAAUUUCCUUUAUAAAAGGGAGUUUUUCUAAUGAGUAUUAAAUUAAUAUUUGUAAAUCAUUUGGGGUAGAUGUCUGGUGCAUAGUAGUUUCUAUGUAAGUGUUAUAUUUUUUAAAUGUCAUCUAUUCAAAAAAUUUUUGUGAUUAUUUAUAAUGUACCAAGCAUUGCAUUAAGCCUGAAGAUACAUAGACAAAUAUGAUAUGUCUCUAUCCUCAAAGAUUUUGCAUCUAAUAGAGGAUGACCAAUACACAAGUAAUAUUCCACUCAGGUAUGAAAUUUUAUUCCAUUUUAAUUAUCAUUGAAAGCAUUAUUUUACGUGACAACUGUGUACUUUCUUGAUGUUAAUAUGAUCUUCCAGAGGUCCAUAUCAUGAGUAUUACAAAACCAAGCCAAGUGAUAAUAUUUUGUAUUGUCACAAUGGUAUUGUUUUCAAUUCUAUCAAAACCCAGGAAAAAAUACUAACAUAUGUUUCUGACUUGGCUUUAUGAGUUUAGAUGACUGGUAAUAUGCAGAGGUUUUAGGUCUCUAAAAUUUUUAUUUUAGAAGUGAAGAAUUUGGAGGGGAAGAAUUGAUAGAAAAUGUCGUCGUCGGACUCUAUUCCUCAAUAUUCACAAGUACAAUUUUCUUGAAUUGUUUUUCUGAAAAGAGAGUUGUCUGAUUGGAGUGCAGUUUUGUUUUGUUUGUUCAUUUUUAAAGCAAAAUAAAUUUAGUGUAGGAAGAGUGGAUCAAGGAGUACAGUUAAAUGUCUCAAAUAUGAGCUGGCUCGGCAACCCUGUAUCGGAUCGAGGGGCAGUGAUUCUCCCACCAAACGGCGGCUCCAUGCCUUUGCAUAUCGCAUGAUAACCCCGGAUACCCCUGGAUACCUGAGGUGUAAGAUUAUGUCUUUGUCCAAAUGACAAGCCUCUCUUUAUUAAAAGUAGCAUAUGAAUUUAAGCUCUUUCUCAAAGACAUAAAAUACCUGGCCCCAUGAAAUAGUUUCUGUUUUUGUAAUCAAUAUUUAACCAUUCUAUUUCAUUAAAAUUCCUGCUUGCAAAUGUAUAUCUUUCUUUUCUCUUAUCAAGACUCCAGGCUAAUCCCAAUUUUUCCCAUGGAUGUCACAUUUUUCUUCAUAGUUUCACUGCCAUCCCCUAAUUGAAGCUUUUAUUACCUUUAACAAAAUGCUUAAAUAGUCUCUUAAUAUUCAGUCACAUUUAGUCCCUCUGCGAUGCAUUUGGUGUUACACAACAUGGUCAGAUUUGUCUUCUAAAGUCCCGUUUUUUCACCUUGAUUCAUAAUUAUUCAGUCAUUACCCAAGGACGGACAGCAAGACUUAGAAUCACUCUUCAGCCUAGCAUUGAAGAGGUGUCAUGAUACAACUUCAUUUUAUCUUUUCUAUUUAAGCCAAGCAAAAAAACUGCCACAGCUCCCUAAUUCCAGUACCGAAGCCGUAGUGAUGCCACCAAAACUGACUCCCAUCCGGGCUUCAUUUUCAACCCUUGCACUAGCAACUCCAGUUUAUAUUAUAUUGCCUCAGAAUUGGGGUAUGUGAGAAGGGGGACCCUUUAUAUCAAUGGUUCAGUCGUGGAGCCACUUUGCUUUGAUUUUGGUUUCUUCCUGCAACCAAGCCCCUACAUUUUAUUUGUCUGGUAGUUCAGGAUCUCGCAUUUCCGAUCUUACCUUCCUCCAUCCUUCAAAAGGUAUUAAUCAUUCCCCUGUAACGCAUCCAAAAAAUUAUCAUCCUUAUAGCUUUGUUCAUAUGUUAAAAUUCAAUAAAUGUUUAUUAAAUGCCUAUUAUGUACUAGUCAGGGGAUAUUUGACAAAUUAUAACUUCCGGCCUCAUGAGGACUAAAGGAGACAGACAAACCAACAGACAAUUACAAACCCGUGUGGUAAGUACUCCACUAGAGAAAUGCCAUCAAUGCUUUGGAAGCAGGGGGAAACAGCACCGAGCUGGACACCAACGAAGCUUUCCAAGGAAGGUGACCCUAAAGGGGACAUGAUUCAGCAUUGGCAUGAUUCAGCAUUGAAAUGACAAAACAGAAUGAGCCAGAUAAGGAAGGGAAGACAUGAGGUAUGUUAUAGGCAGAACACCAGACCACAAAAAGCCCUGAAAGCUUGAAACAACAUGGUGAUUUUCAGAAGCCCCAGGUAUCCAGAGGUACCGUGGAGGUAUCAUGCGAUACUGGGCAAUGGCAUGGGGCCACGGGACCAGCUCCGAUGAGAUAGGCUAGCUGAGCCAGCCCAGAAUCAGAGCAAUAAGACUCCUGGCUUCAUUAAUUUGUAUCUAUCCCCCUUUCAUUCUAAUAUUUUUCCUAUCUUUCAACCAGACUGAUCUACCAGAAUGGCAGAUCUGAUUAUUUAAGUCCCUGGUUUUAACUCUCUCAUGAUGAAAUGCAAACCCUUUAACACAGCCGGCACAGGAGCCUCUUCUUGACCGGUAUCUCAGCCAACCUUGGCAGGACGAAUCAAAAUACCUUAUAGCAGUAACAGAGGGAAGAAAUGAUUAGAGUCACCUUGUUGGAGAUACAAAAGGAAAGAAAAGAGUCAGGAGAUUAUAGGGGUAUAUAGGGGUAGUUGGUGAAUGACAGAAAUUUGAGGUGGGUUGAACAAAGGAAAUGAGCGAUGCUGUGAUCACUUCCAAGUUUCUUUCACAGAUAAUAAGAGAGAUGGAAGUCAUUCACAUAGGACAAGUAAUAUUUUGGGGAAGGAAGAUAAAGAAUUUUAUUUGAAACAUGAUACAUUUGCUUAUCCAUGUGGCAAUGUCUGAAAGACUGAAAUUUGUGUCUCGAGAGAAUUCUGUACUAGAUAUUUGGGAGACAUUAGUAUAUCUAUUCCAGCUGAUGGUUUAGGAAUGGAGGGUAUUACCUAUAGAGAAAUAAAAAA
RNAcentral lists this long non-coding RNA (5685 nucleotides) under Sus scrofa (pig). RNAcentral's name for it is "lncRNA (ENSSSCG00055027788.1)". Lineage: Eukaryota; Metazoa; Chordata; Mammalia; Artiodactyla; Suidae. The record is from RNAcentral.